RNAcentral lists this unclassified non-coding RNA (220 nucleotides) under Rice yellow mottle virus satellite. The record is from RNAcentral.
CCAGCUGCGCAGGGGGCGGAGAUUUUGUUUCGAGCCUUACCGACACUGAUGAGCCAAGAGGAACUUGGAGGCACCCAGGAAUUUCACCCGGGUCGACCUGGGCGGCUAGGAGCCGUGCACAGGGCGUCGCUGUGGAGCGAGCCUGGCCUCCAAGGGGCCUGGAGGCGAAACCGGUCUGUUGGGACCACUCGGACCAUCAGUCAUCGUGCUCCGGCAGCUU